Molecule: unclassified non-coding RNA, 176 nt
Filed under: rhizosphere metagenome
Description: partial ribosomal RNA internal transcribed spacer region
Source: RNAcentral
GAGUGAGGGCCUCGCGCCCGACCUCCAACCCUUUGUCGAUUAAUAUCUGUUGCCUCGGGGGGCGACCCGGACGUCCGCGGCCGGGAGUCCCCCAGAGGACCAAUCAACUCUGCAUCUUUGCGUCGAGUAUUGAAUACAAAUCAAUCAAAACUUUUAACAACGGAUCUCUUGGUUCU